UAUGAAGGGUGCAAGCGUUACUCGGAAUUACUGGGCGUAAAGCGUGCGUAGGUGGUUCGUUAAGUCUGAUGUGAAAGCCCUGGGCUCAACCUGGGAAUUGCAUUGGAUACUGGCGAGCUAGAGUGCGGUAGAGGAUGGCGGAAUUCCCGGUGUAGCAGUGAAAUGCGUAGAGAUCGGGAGGAACAUCUGUGGCGAAGGCGGCGACCUGGAUAGAUACUGACGCUGAGGUGCGAAAGCGUGGGGAGCAAACAGG
RNAcentral lists this ribosomal RNA (253 nucleotides) under uncultured bacterium. RNAcentral describes it as "partial 16S ribosomal RNA". It matches the Rfam family "Bacterial small subunit ribosomal RNA", at positions 524 to 776 of the family's 1533-position model. The record is from RNAcentral.